Molecule: ribosomal RNA, 253 nt
Filed under: uncultured bacterium
Lineage: Bacteria
Description: partial 16S ribosomal RNA
Rfam family: Bacterial small subunit ribosomal RNA
Source: RNAcentral
UACAGAGGGGGCCAGCGUUAUUCGGAAUUAUUGGGCGUAAAGGGCGCGUAGGCGGUUUCUUAAGUCUGAUGUGAAAGCCCUGGGCUCAACCCAGGAAGUGCAUUGGAUACUGGGAGACUUGAAUACGGGAGAGGGUAGUGGAAUUCCUAGUGUAGGAGUGAAAUCCGUAGAUAUUAGGAGGAACACCGGUGGCGAAGGCGGCUACCUGGACCGAUAUUGACGCUGAGACGCGAAAGCGUGGGGAGCAAACAGG